RNAcentral lists this long non-coding RNA (1218 nucleotides) under Vulpes vulpes (red fox). Its description in RNAcentral is "lncRNA (ENSVVUG00000011700.1)". Lineage: Eukaryota; Metazoa; Chordata; Mammalia; Carnivora; Canidae. The record is from RNAcentral.
AUGGAGCCUCUGAGCCGACGCAGGGACGAAGUCAUGGGCUUCCUCGGCCCGGGAGUCGACGAGGGCGGGGAAGAGCCGCAGGAAACCCAGCCUGUGGCCGUGUCGCUGACCCAGGAGGGAGCGGCGGCCGAGUUCACACCUGACCACGGCGGGGGAGCAGACCAGGUCAUGGAGGAAGCUGACGGCGAGGGUGACGGUGACGGCGAGGGUGACGGUCAGGGCCAGCGCGACGGUGACGGUCAGGGCCAGCGCGACGGUGAAGACGGUCAGGGCCAGCGCGACGGUGACGACGGUCAGGGCCAGCGCGACGGUGACGGUCAGGGCCAGCGCGACGGUGACGGUGAAGGCCAGCGCGACGGCGAGGAGGCAAUGGGUGACGAGGCCGCGGGAUCUCCACUGCCGGCGGGCGACGGGACCCCCCAGGGGCACGGCGACCAGGGCCCAGUGCCAGGGCAGCCGCCCCAGGCCACCGUCGCGUGUCCCCUGCCGGGCAACGGGCAGCAGGCGGGCCAGCGCAUCGUGUUCAGCCGCGUGCAGCUGCAUGAGCUGGAGAGCGUGUUCCAGCGCACCCAGUACCCCAGCGCGCCUACGCGCCAGGAGCUUGCAAGAUUCAUGGAUGUGUCUGAAGCCAGAGUGCAGGUUUUGUUAAAGAACAGGAGGGGCCANNNNNNNNNNNNNNNUUUAGGUUUGUCAAGAACAGGAGGGCCAAGUGGAGGAGACACCAGAGGGCAGUGAGGUUCAGAACCAUGCCCCCCGUGGCCCUGGCCCCCCCCAUCAUCAUUAACUUGGGUGGACCCUACCAUAGCAUCCUCAUUCAGGAGCCGAAUCGCAUAUGGGUUCUUCAGGAGCCACUGCUGCUGGGGCCACCUCAGCCGCUCGUGCCAUCCUUUCCUGUGGUCUUCUUGCCUCCUCUGCCCUGGCUUCCUCCACCUCUCCCUCUGUGCGGCUACCCUCCCGUGGCCCUCCCGUGGCCGGUCCGGCUUUCCUACCAUCCCUAGUUCUGCUGUAAGCCCUCUGCCCCGAAAAGGGCCUCCGUGACCGCUUUUUCCCCACGGGAAAUGCGCUUUGCAGCGCAUGCGGAUUCUGUGUAGCUCACCACGGAGAGCAGCGCGCUACCUGCCGCCUGCUCGGUGUAUUCAAGAGAAGUGCACAUUCACUGACCCUGUCUCUUUCUGUCUCUUCAAUAAAGUUGUGAAUGAGUUGUCUGCGUAUUUAUUU